GACAACGUGGCCGAGUGGUUAUGGCGUGUGACUCAAGCGCAAGCUUCUCCUACAGUGUAGGACGCAUUCUCAUGGGCUUUGCCCGCGUGGGUUCGAGUCCCACCGUUGUCA
Molecule: non-coding RNA, 111 nt
Organism: Karstenula rhodostoma CBS 690.94
Lineage: Eukaryota; Fungi; Ascomycota; Dothideomycetes; Pleosporales; Didymosphaeriaceae
Source: the annotation of a GenBank genome assembly